UUUGAAGCGAGGAUGCCGCGCGCCACAGGUCCGGAGGAGUGGAGUGUUGCGAAAGGCUCACCGCCCCGCGCAAGUCCUUCCCGCUAUAGCUGAAGCGAAAGCAACGCGAUGAAAGCCUUGGCCAACUUGGGGGGAAAAAAAAGCUUACCGUAUGGAGUCUGGGACCCCAAAACACCAUCACUCACCUUACACUCAAAGCAGUAUUUCUGGUGAACAAAUUAGCUAAUACUACCUUGAGUUCAGUACUGUUGUCACUUUUGGUCUUUACAAGAUCAGAUGCAGAUCUUUUCUAUCACUGCUUGGCAGACGCUGAAAUGUGUCGUGAUUUGCCUUAUGUUAUACACUGCAAUAAAGCUUCAUUACGAAAUCAUGUCUCAGGAUCCAAGCUUCACGAUAGUUCGCUACAUCUAAUCGCCAAAGAGGGUUAGUAAGGAUGGUCCGGGGUGGAAAGAGGUGAGAUAAAAUUCCUCCCUAAUUCCCACGUUUUCCUGUUCUCCUUAGGGCCACACUGACUUCUGCUUAGCCCAGUGCUUUAACUACCACUUUACUGAACCCAUAGAGGUAAUUCAAUUUCAUGCCUUUCACUUUCCUUUACCUCAAAAUUUCUUCCAUAGUCUAAGAAAGAGUCCUGCUUUUCCAAAGCUAACUCUUUAACUUCAUUCAUGCAACAGUUAAUGUUUAAGAUGCACCAGCACACUUGGGAGUAGAGAAUGAAAAACACAAAAUUGAGUUUAACAAUCCUUACUCCUAAUUUUAUUAGCCUGUUGGGGAAUGACACGUUUCUUUGACCACUUUACUUUUCUACGUCCUCUAAAAUACUGCUCAACUAACAUUCCCAUAUACCUUCUCUACCGGUUCCUUUCUACCUUUAGAAAUGCUGCCCCUCUCCACCCAAAACCAAAACCAAAACCAAAACCAACUCACCUGUUGCUGGAUUGUGUUUUAUCACCUUAAGACCAUUCUGUCUCUCCCACCUUUAAACUGCCUCCACUUUCACACCUUAAUGUCAUUUAUCCCAUACUUAUUUUAUCAGAACUAGCCUCCUGUCAAACUCAAUUGAUGUCUCUGCAAUUCUCCUGGCAUUUUUCUUGAAACCUUCAAGCCUUGGCAUUUCCAAACUGUAAUUACCCCUAUUCUACCCUUGUCCACACUCAAUGAACAAAGAUAAGUGGAGGAAAUUUUCUGAAUCCUGAAAAAUAAACCUAUUAGCUUUAGAGCUGAAAGGAUGCUACUUGAGUGUGUAAUGAGCCAUCCUUGUUUCACAAAGUAGCUGAACUGUCUACACCAUGAUCACAUAACUGGAGGUGAACUAUUGGAAUGUAUGUCUAUUCAUUUACCCUACACCCCUUGUACCCAACUCCAUAAAUGUCCUUUUCCUCCAUAAAAAUCAAGCGAUCAAGCUCUCCCAACACCCAGCAACCUAGUGGGACUCUAGUGACAAGGAUCUGUAAUCCAAAGUAUCUGCAAGCAAGAGAGAGAACACACUUAUGCCAGAUAACCUAAAUCUCAAUCCUGGCUCUCACUUCCUAGCUGUGCAGCCUUGGGCAAAUAGCUCUAAUCUGCCUAUUUCUUCACCUGUAAAAUGGGGAUAAUUAGAGCACUUCCCUCAGAGGUUUGUUCUAAGGAUUAAUAAAUUCACAUAAAGUAUCUGGAAGAGCACUGGCACACGGAAGUACUCAAAAAACAUUAGUGUUAUCCAACCUUACUUGCCAACUGAAAAGGAGGCAUAAAACUCCCAGUAAAUUUCAAAUCUUCUUAGACAUUGGGUAGAGCUUGCAGAAGUCCCGGGCUAGAGAUGAAUGCCUCCCAGGGAAUGAGACGUGACAUCUACCCAGUUAAGAAAAGGCAGUCAUCUCCCAUAGAUCCCCUUUACCAACUGCUUUAAGUGACAAACCUCAGCCACGGAUAUCCGAAGCCGCCUACAAUGUUACCACAAAGUUUGAUUCUAGAUUAAUCUCCCACCAGCUCCCCCAAAUAAACCUUACAUCAGACUAAUAUCCUGUUGCCCGAACACAGCCCUGUCAUCUUUCAUCUCUGGGCCAUCACCUUGGAAAUCCUACCCUCCUCUGCUUCAACUACCCCAUCUGUUGAAAUCCCACAUUGCUUCCAAACCUGGCCAGCUCAAAUAAAUCACUUUGUGUUUCAACAUUUAUAAUGAAACUGAAUCCUCACUACCUUCUGUAAAUUCCGUAAAUACCUUCUCUAUUUUUUACAUACCCCAGUGUUUUAUAGCACAGUAUCUUGCACACAGAAGAUGUUCAAUAUUCACUAAAUUGGAUAAUCUCACUUCAUUAUCCCAUUCUAACCCUAAGCACCUCUACAAUGAUUAAAAUCUCAAAGGUGUCGAUUAUUAAUUCUGAGCUAGAUUCAGUCUUAAGUGAGACCCCUUGCUUUGAACCUAAACAAACCAACAAGUCUAAAACAAGUCCUUUAACAGAAGACCUCUGAGAUUUAGAAAAGACUUUUCUUCAUACAUUGGAAUGCUAAAAUGCUAACUUGACAGACAAAAGAUUUUAAUGAUUAGUCACAAGAAAGUUCAAAUGUUCCUUAAGUUAAAAUUAAUCUCUUAUCAGUUCUUUAUCCUUUGCAGGUUAAGAAGCAUCAAAUGUAUGAGGCUACUCAUAGGAAAGAUGCCUUUGAAAAUUAGGUUAUAAAUUAUAUGAUUUUAACAAUUAUAUAUGUGAUUGAGACACAUAUGAAAUACUUUUCAAAUUACAUUCUUCUCAAGUCCUAAAGAGACUUAAAUACUUGGUAAUUCUUGAGAAAACUGAACCAAAACAAACAUUACUAGUUCUAUAGUUUUAAUCAUUUUACCAUAAUUAUUGUCAAGUACUUUCUGAUUUCAAAUUUUAAAAGUAGCAUUAAAAUAACGUGCAAUUACAGCAAAGGAAACAACCAACAAAACUAAAAGGCAACCAACAGAAUGGGAAAAGAUAUUUGCAAAUGACAUAUUGGACAAAGGACUAGUAUCCAAAAUCUAUAAAGAGCUCACCAAACUCCACACCUGAAAAACAAAUAACCCAGUGAAGAAAUGGGCAGAAAACAUGAAUAGACACUUCUCUAAAGAAGACAUCCGGAUGGCCAACAGGCACAUGAAAAGGUGCUCAACGUCGCUCCUCAUCAGGGAAAUACAAAUCAAAACCACACUCAGAUAUCACCUCACGCCAGUCAGAGUGGCCAAAAUGAACAAAUCAGGAGACUAUGGAUGCUGGAGAGGAUGUGGAGAAACGGGAACCCUCUUGCACUGUUGGUGGGAAUGCAAAUUGGUGCAGCCACUCUGGAAAACAGUGUGGAGGUUCCUCAAAAAAUUAAAAAUAGACCUACCCUAUGACCCAGCAAUAGCACUGCUAGGAAUUUACCCAAGGGAUACAGGAGUACUGAUGCAUAGGGGCACUUGUACCCCAAUGUUUAUAGCAGCACUCUCAACAAUAGCCAAAUUAUGGAAAGAGCCUAAAUGUCCAUCAACUGAUGAAUGGAUAAAGAAAUUGUGGUUUAUAUACACAAUGGAGUACUACGUGGCAAUGAGAAAGAAUGAAAUAUGGCCCUUUGUAGCAACNAAAAAAAAAAAAAAAAAAAAAAAAAAGGAGGUUAGAGUGGGAGAGAGCCAAAACAUAAGAGACUCUUAAAAACUGAGAACAAACUGAGGGUUGAUGGGGGGUGGGAAGGAGGGGAGGGUGGGUGAUGGGUAUUGAGGAGGGCACCUUUUGGGAUGAGCACUGGGUGUUGUAUGGAAACCAAUUUGACAAUAAAUUUCAUAUAUUGAAAAAAAAAUAAUAAAAAAAAUAAAAUAAAAUAAUGUGCAAUUAGAUUGGAAGUCAACAUCUGUCAGUUUUAGGUGUUAGUCUACAUACUAACUUCCUACCUUUUUAAAUAAAUGUCAUGCUUACCUCCAAUUUUUUGAUUGUUUGGAUUUUUUUUCAACAUUGUAUAAGGAGAUAUAAGCUUUACCGUCUAACAAAUAGAAUAUAGUUGACCCUUAAACAACGCAGGGGUUAGAUGGUGCCAAUGUGCCCACAGUCAAAAAUCUGACUCUAACCUUGGACUACUUAAUAGCCUACUGUUGACUAGAAGCUUUAUCAGUAACAUAAGCAGUCAAUUACCACCUAUUUUGUAUGUUAUACAUGUAAAGUAAGCUAGAGAAAAAAAAUGCUAUUAAGAAAAUCAUAAGGAAGAGAAACUUCAUUUACAGUACCAUGCUGCAUUUACUGAAAAAAAUCUAUGUAUAAGUGGAUGAGUGCAGUUCAAACCCAUGUUGUUCAAGGGCCAGCUGUUCAUUCUGUUUUCAUAAGGCAACAGAUUCAUAUCUUUUAAAAUAUAUUUUAUUAAAUAAUCUACUUGGAAAAUAAUUACAAAAGCUUUAAACAGUAAUUCCAAGUAGUAAAAGGCAAUUUCCUUUCAAAAAAAAAAAAAAAACCAGAGUCCAUUAUUAUGUUUUGCUGCUUUAUACACAGGAAUGAUUUAUUUUACAAACUAGUCAGAUCCAACAUUAGCCUGUAAAUUUUAAAACAUUUCUUAAUAUGUCUCAAAGGCAAAGUGAACUCUAUGAUAUGCUUUCACAUUAACCAGAAUGACAAACCAUAAGAAAAUUAACACCAUAACAGUUCAAGAUAAAACGAAUAGGCACUUUGAAAGUGAAAUCAGCUACUGUAAAUCUCAUAGUUCACGUUACUUGUACUUAUCGCAUUUCAUCAAAGGUUAUCAACCAGUGAGGCAAAUGUUCCUUUGAUGCAGAAGCACAAACACAUUUAGGUUCCAAACACUGUGUUCUGGUUGUAAUACAUGCAAGACGGACCCUAACUUAGAAAAAUCUUCUGAAAGAAAAUGAAGAAAAACAAAAAGCAGCCAGGAAUGAAAGCAUUUACAAGCACUUGAAUAAGGCCUUUAAGUGUUAAAUCAGUGUUUUAAACCCCUUCAUUCUCAGGUAAGGGAUUAAGAGGCCGAGAGAGAGAUCGUCUGCGAGGGUGAGGAUACUGGAGGUUGGCAGUGUCAGCAUCGCAAGAGUGCUCUACCAGAGGAGGAGGAGGAGGAGGAAGGAGCUGGGCAUAACUGGACCAUCUCGAUCCAGCCCGUGGGGAAUCCAGAGGGGGAAAGAAAUACCUGAAACAAUGAAGACAGGAACAAAACACCAAAACAAAACAAAAACAACAGAAAAAAAAAAAAAAAGAAAAAAAAACAGAAGAAAAAGAGAAAAGUAGUAAAUACAAAGAGAACCAAAGAGGAGAAAACACAUGCUGGAAAAAAAAAGCUUUAGUAUAUUCAUGCCAAAACUAACAGAACAUAAUCGCAAAAAUCAAGACCCUUACUCAAAUCAAGCUUGCUUAAGCAAGUAUAGAAACUUGAAAGAAAGAAAUACAAUCUGUUAAACUUAAAAUGUUAAAAAAAAUUAUCAGUAUGAAUGUUACAAAAAAAGACAUUUUAUAAUUUAAAACAUUUUCUAAUCUUUCAGAAACAUAUUUGAUGCGAUCCUGGAAAUUUACAAAUCUAAUAAGCUUUUUAUUUUAAGCAAUGCUUCGUUUGUAGUAGCAGCAGGCACAUGUUUUGUAGUGCAUACAGGACACUGAGAACCAAUCCAAAUAUACUUUCACAAAGUAUGGCCAGCUAUUGCAAUAUACUUCUGAAGAAAUACAAUCUUUGAAAACACUUAGCUGCUUUUCUGCAAAAACUUUAAAUAGUACAAAAUUUUGAUAAGUAAAAGAGCUCAAAGAAUAUGUCCUAUUGUUAUUCUUCUGCCAUUUUAUAACUUACCCGUAAUACUUAAGCACAUUAGCAAACAAAGACUUAUAGCUUUGUCAUCAAGGUCAAAGUUCUAAAGAAUAUGAAGCAGCCAACUAAAUUAAAAUCCUGAGGCUUGGAAUGUGGAGGUUAAUGUGCAUGCACAAUUUCAGCAAAUUUUUAACUGCUCCUCUUAAGUAUGUUUCCAAAUUUUGACUUGAAGGAAAACUUAAGCCAUGGAAUUACACCAUAAAAAAUAUACAAGCACAUAUUAGAAACAUUUAGCUCUUUAGUGAAUAUGAAUUGAAAACUUACAAAGAUGUUUUCAUUUUACUACCAUAUUAUAAAUGAAGCAAUACCAUAUGUUUAAUUUGGCCACAAACUGUACAGUCAAAUUACUUUCAUUUCACUACUACUUCUCUCACUCCUUUACUAAUAUUUUUUAAAUAUUACAAAGAAAUGACAGAGUUGUAUUAAAUAAUAUCACGUAUAAGCCAAUUCUACAAAAGGUAAUAAACAGAUUAGCACUCAAAACAAUCUUUAUGAAAAAUAUUUAUUCAAUCUUCAAAUUAAAAUUAUAAAAAUUCAUCAUUUUCGCUGUUUUAGAAAACAAAAGAAAUAAGCCUAUAUUCUCCAAAUGGAAUAAAGUGGUAUUUUCCCUCCUCCCAACUACUUACAAGGAUAGUAACAAUCCUUUUAAUUUUAAACCCAUGUUAGUUUCGGGAACAUUUCAAAAAAUUGUUUUGGUGACAAUGUCUCAACAAAAAGCCUCUCCAUUUAUAUUUCAAAAGUUUCAAAUAGUGUCAAUAAACUGGCUAGUACAAAAAAAAAUGAUAUACACGGUAUUUUUAAAGGCCUUUUGGAUUGCGUUUAGUAGUAAGCAGGCUGCUGGUGUAUCUUGGGAGAGGUCAAACGGCGCUGGGGAAGGGGAAAAGGAGCUCGCUUUCCAUUCCUGUGUGCAUGCAACAAGCAGCAAAACAGCAAAGUUACUCCAGUUAGCUGGUACUCAGCUGUGCUUUCUGUUAAAGGACAUAAUACAAAUGGAGAAGGGAAAAUGCAUCACAGAUCUAACACACACGGUUAUUGGCACAAUAAGAAUACAGAUCAAAACUUCAAAGCUCUUUACAAAAGAAUAUACACAGUACAGGCAGCAACCAAAAAUCAGAUUUUUUUUUUUUAAUUAACAGUAGUAUCCUUUGUUUCAUGAAAUCAUUUUUAUAAUCUGAUCUCUUCUGUGGUAACCUGAAAUUGUUUACAUGCAAAUACUUAAAUCUCAGAAUCAAACAGGACUUUUUAAAUAAAAAUUUAACAUUAUAAAAAUAGUUGAAGAAAUUUUAAAUAGAAUUCUAAGAUGACAACAGAAUAACCACAGGACAGUUUGUUAAUAAGGACCAUGCUUUGAAGUUUCCUGAAUCGUAUUCCAAAUUAUUCACAAAGGCAUAUUAAAAUAAGCUGAUCUUAAAAAUUCACAUAUUUGAAAUCUGAAUAUGAAAACAAAGGAUGACUCUUCAGAUCACAUUGUUUGUCAAGAUAAACAAGAAUCUAAAAUAUAUGAAAAAUUC
RNAcentral lists this long non-coding RNA (7274 nucleotides) under Lynx pardinus (Iberian lynx). Lineage: Eukaryota; Metazoa; Chordata; Mammalia; Carnivora; Felidae. The record is from RNAcentral.